This 24-nucleotide non-coding RNA is filed under the name Arabidopsis thaliana (thale cress). The record is from RNAcentral. Lineage: Eukaryota; Viridiplantae; Streptophyta; Magnoliopsida; Brassicales; Brassicaceae.
AUUUCUAAGGAAUGUUGUUUUACA